This 505-nucleotide ribosomal RNA is filed under the name uncultured bacterium. RNAcentral describes it as "partial 16S ribosomal RNA". It matches the Rfam family "Bacterial small subunit ribosomal RNA", at positions 28 to 507 of the family's 1533-position model. The record is from RNAcentral.
GACGAACGCUGGCGGCGUGCCUAAUACAUGCAAGUAGAACGCACAGUUUAUACCGUAGCUUGCUACACCAUAGACUGUGAGUUGCGAACGGGUGAGUAACGCGUAGGUAACCUGCCUGGUAGCGGGGGAUAACUAUUGGAAACGAUAGCUAAUACCGCAUAAUAUUAAUUUUUGCAUGAUAAUUAAUUGAAAGGUGCAAUUGCACCACUACCAGAUGGACCUGCGUUGUAUUAGCUAGUAGGUGAGGUAACGGCUCACCUAGGCGACGAUACAUAGCCGACCUGAGAGGGUGGUCGGCCACACUGAGACUGAGACACGGCCCAGACUCCUACGGGAGGCAGCAGUAGGGAAUCUUCGGCAAUGGGCGAAAGUCUGACCGAGCAACGCCGCGUGAGUGAAGAAGGUUUUCGGAUCGUAAAGCUCUGUUGUAAGAGAAGAACGGGUGUGAGAGUGGAAAGUUCACACUGUGACGGUAUCUUACCAGAAAGGGACGGCUAACUACGUG